UAAGUUAGCAUAAGAGUAGCCAUCUUAAGGGCCUAGAAGCAGUUUUCUGAAGUUGUGACUUAAAAGAAAAAAAACUGGAACUGGGUAAGGCCUUGGAAAACAAGUUAAUCAUGAACACCGGGAUGGGGGCAGCUGUGGCCUUCAGUCAGCUAACCUUGGUCAGUUAAUCCUACAUACCAAGCUUAUCGUGCAGAACCUCCCUAACAAUUGAGGAGUGGCCUUACCUUGCUCUCGCUUAACCCCAGGAUGUAUGUCUUGCAAAGAUAAUGUGCAGCUGUGGAAAAUUACUAAGAGUUAAGUGUUUUGAAAAUGCUAUAUAAACCCUUGGUUUUGAGUGCUCGAGGUCCUUGUUGAAACCCGCUGUGUCGGGCAGACACUUGGACCCCAGCUAGCUGGAAUAACAAUAAACCUCUUGCUUGUUGCAUCGAUCUGCUGUGGCCUUCGUCUCCUCACUGGGGGAGAAGUGCAGACCGGAAUAAGGCCGUUGGGUCUUACAUUUGGGGGCUCGUCCGGGAUCGCGUGCCCCCCCCCGGAGGAACGACAAGCCAAGGAUCGGAGGCUUGCCCUGGCCAGCUUUUUUCCCCUCCUGAAGAUGAAAGCAGAAAAAUCUACCAUCUGCUACCAUUCUCUCAAGAAUGCUUGAAAUAUCAGAAUUUCCUUAUGUCAACUGUCUUACAGUGAGCUCUCGUCAGAUCUUUGACCAUUGUCAUUUGUAAGUUUUUUGUCAUUUAUAGUCACUGUUUUGUUGUUCCUGGACUGGUAAAGAACUGGAUUUCAGCAGAACAGGUAUUAGUUGCAUAAGAUUACAUAAACUAAAGAAAAUGGUUUUGUGUCUUUUUGUUUCGAAUGUUGCUGAUAGUGUUUUGAGCUUGUUCUCUUAAGCUGACAACAGUUUAGUAGAUGGCUGUCUUUAUAAGCAGAAUUGAGACAUCCUUCUCUCUACCUGAUCCCUACAGAGUUUAAAAACUUUUAGUGACUGUUUUUGUAUUCCAUGGCAGUAUGUUUAUUUGCACGAGUUUAGUAAGAAUCUGCUUUCCUUGUGAGAAGACUAAUUAAGAACACUGGUUAUACUGCCAGGGCUUUGGCUGGAAUGUCAUACCUGAGAGACAUGUGCAUGGACUCAGAUGUGAACAACUUUAAGGAACUAAGAUUGACUUUAUAGGGCCAACAAAGCCCCUUGGAAGAACUAGCCUGGUACCUUGCUUGCAGAGUUCCCAGCAGCCUUACCAGGUGAGUAAAGAAAGUCGCUUCCUGGCAGGUGCAGAGACCUCGAGAAGAGAGGAAUUCAUCCAAAUCUACAGGUACUGCAGGCAAAGCCUGAUGGCAGGUCUGGCUUGGCUGUCUAGCCUCAAGAGGCCUUUAAAAGUUCAAUCUGAAGUUCCUUGCAAAAAGUUCCAGCAAAGCAUAUUUAAAAGAGCCUGUGUAAUCAAUUGCUCUUCUUGCUGCACUUGUGCAAAUAAUCAAGCCAGCUGUUAAUUAUUUUCUUAACCUGGUUACUUCUAAUAAAAAUGGAAGUGAUUUUAAAGUAUUGUUUCAAUAACGCAGCCUUCUUCCAGAAUAGAAAAUCCAACUCCAGAUGUUGGUACAUAACCUAAUAACACAAUUUGUUUUAUCUUGCCUAGAAGCCACAAAACUGCAAAUAGUAAUAGAAACAAAACCCAGAAUAGAAGCGCCAGCCUUCUGAGGCCCUCUCAACUGACCAGUGAUAGAGACCUAGCUGCACCCUUUACCGCGCCCCCUUCUCAGCACGAAGCAGCCAGAGCGGUCAUCGCCCCUUUUCCCUAGCAGCAGCUAGAGUCUCUACCUGUAGAAGAGAGAAUGAGACAGGGACCAUAG
Molecule: long non-coding RNA, 1836 nt
Organism: Manis pentadactyla (Chinese pangolin)
Lineage: Eukaryota; Metazoa; Chordata; Mammalia; Pholidota; Manidae
Exons: 3
Source: RefSeq, a predicted model, not a curated record